AGGGGUGUGGUGAAAUUAGGCAGACACGUUUGGUUUAGGGCCAGGUUCUUAUAGGUUCGAGUCCUAUCGCUCUUA
Molecule: transfer RNA, 75 nt
Filed under: Halichondria panicea
Lineage: Eukaryota; Metazoa; Porifera; Demospongiae; Suberitida; Halichondriidae
Also listed under: 5 other names
Description: tRNA-Leu
Rfam family: tRNA
About the family: Transfer RNA (tRNA) molecules are approximately 80 nucleotides in length. Their secondary structure includes four short double-helical elements and three loops (D, anti-codon, and T loops). Further hydrogen bonds mediate the characteristic L-shaped molecular structure. tRNAs have two regions of fundamental functional importance: the anti-codon, which is responsible for specific mRNA codon recognition, and the 3' end, to which the tRNAs corresponding amino acid is attached (by aminoacyl-tRNA synthetases). tRNAs cope with the degeneracy of the genetic code in two manners: having more than one tRNA (with a specific anti-codon) for a particular amino acid; and 'wobble' base-pairing, i.e. permitting non-standard base-pairing at the 3rd anti-codon position.
Source: RNAcentral